UCUAGAAAAACCAAAGCAUGUCCUUCUCUCUAACGGCACUACGGAUACACUAUCUGCACCGCCCAGAUGAGACAAACAAUGUCACUUCUCCGGCAGUAAACGUCAGUGCCCUGUUAACUAUGGCUCUAACUACUAUCCUGACGUCCCGGAGUAGUUCUUAAUGCAUUACUGGUUUAGCGAACCUGUAGACGUCACGUUAAACUCAAACAUGAAACAUCUGGUGUGUAUCCCCAUGGCCGGGCAAGAGGUGAUCAAAAGUUCUCGUGGAACGUGAAUUUUACCCCCUACCUUAACAGGACCUCGCGUAUGAGAGGCCUAGACUCUUUGGUUGGUUAGACCGUAAUCGUGAAAAUGUCCUCUAAUGUCUUUUAAAGAGACUUUACUCUUUUUAACCGCUCCCGCCUAAACCCCACCAAAUGUUCCCACACGAGGUGUCAUCCUAACAACGGCACUUCUCCUAUUAAUACUCACUUGUGUGUUAGUUGCUGUCCAAUAAACUAGCACUCCAAUUUUCGAACUACUUCUAAUAAUCGGUAGCUUUACAUCAGGCGAAAGAACCGAAAACAAGUUUAUGUGUAGCACUUCGCUAUUUUCUCCGUCCUAGUUGUCUUAACCAAUACCGGGUCUAUUCUCUUUCUAAUGAAACAAAACUCAUAUAGUCGUUACCUUCGGAACUAUUUGUAUAAUGUCCCCUAUGACACGAGGUCUUAUGCACUUACCACCGUUCUGCAGUUUUUUCCGACUGUACAUAUCAAACCCACAAUAUUAGUGCCUUGACCAUUGCCCUACAUCCCCACUAGGUUUAUUACAAUUACACGAAGCUUCCACCUAUGUGUCCACCCUAUUUAGUGGCUUUCUAUGCCACGACAGGGUUAUGGUCGUUCAUUGAUUUACAAACUUUUAACGCCGUGUGACGUCCUUUUUUCUUGGUAGUUUAUCUGGAAAAUAUAACCUAUAUUAAACAUAAGAGUUACUUUGACUUCUUUUGUACUUACUCGUGUAACUGGUCUAUGUGGAAAUGAGCCUACUGUACGAACCUUAAUACGGCGAGCUUGAUGCCAAAGGAAAACUCGAAGUAUUCAGUUAUAGUAGGUAUCAACUCGAUUAGUUGUUCUGUUUUCCAAUGAUGCGGAAGUUGUAGCUAUGCGGUUCGGCUGUUAUGACGUGUGUUGGUUUGUUUCCGUAACACAGUGGUGUUAGGUUCAAACGAUAGGUUUAUUGUUACGUUCGUGCCCUCUUAUGUGGUGUGCCAUACGGUAUGUGGCUGCACAAAGAACACGUCUCGUGUUUUCAGUUGUCCCUCCAGUUUCGGCUCCUAUAGUGACUUGUGUACAAGUAAUAUCUCGGCCUACCUGAUCUACUCCACUUAAACUGCCAACACCAUAUACUAGGGCUCCUUGGAUCCCCUCUAUACUUCUAAGCUCUACUGUGGUUCUUCUUUUUCUUAUUCUAACAACUCAUACGAAAAUCGCUCUAGUUUGGGUUGUAGUUACGUUGAGUAGUUCUUCUCCGUCAAGGCUACCCGUUGUUAAGAUAAUCGAUGUUUCUAUGUGCUGCUGUUAAAGGGUUCGUUGAUCUCACGGAAUCGAAGGUGUGUUGAGGUUCAUAAAACCCGUUGGUUGUGUCGUUAUACUCGUUGUCUUAACACCUAGAACGUUGGCCCCGGUACCCGUCGGACGCGGUGUUCGAACCGCUAGAGGAGUUGUUUCUCAUGUUAGAUCUCUAUUCGCACUUCUAUCUGUAUCUCAGAAAUAGUCUUCUCGACUCCCUCUACGUCGAUCGGAACACGUUCCACAGCCUCCAUGUAGCCCUGAUGGAGCUACUGUUCCAGUUCGCGACCCGACUGUCACAGUCCCUCUACAGUAUACUGUAACUCCUACAACAACUACCUAAGGACCAUGUGUAACCCGUACGGAGACUGUACCCGGAGAAGUACCCCGAGUACGUAUCCUACAAGUUGGAGAAGUGCACCCCGUUCUGAGUGUUAGGCUAACUUCUGCGAUAGUUUCUGUAGUUCUUUGUUCAAGUCCAACACCGACUAUCUGCACUUUCUACGUUCCAACUACUUCAGUACCGAUUACAUCGACUGUGAUAAUGGAAACUAGGAGCGUAAAACCGAUAUAUGUUUCUAGGUUUCCUCGAGCAACCGUAGUUUCUCGGUUCUUUGUUCGAUUAGUCCACCGAGAGAUUAUUCCUACCCCUACCCUUACAGAGUUUUGGCGUUGAGUUCUAUCAAAGCUAGCAGCCUAAACCUCCUAACCCGUUCUGUUGUGAACGGUUCCGUCACAUACUGCUCGAAGUUAGGGUUAAGGUUGUAUCUCGAAAACAAAGUCACCCAGCCUUAGGAUUACACUUCUUUGAAAAACUCGUAUAAGAUCUAUUUAAACCGAUACCAAGGUUCCUUCGUUUCAAUUUGCUUUACGUCGAGUAGCUGUUUUACGCUUCUAACGAAGUCUUGCUGUCCAUGAAGUAUCAUUAGCUACUAUAUACCCUAAGGGGCUGCACCUUACAAUAAUUUACACGAAAAUGUUUUCUGCUAACACCGUCAUAACACCAUUGUUGAUGGUCCUAAGUGUUACAACGUGUACUGACAACGUCUGUAUCGUUUCCUAUACAAGUACUCUACCUUGGUGAUUCAGGGGUUCUGAGUUCUUUUGAUGAACAAUCAUCUUAUAAACCAAGGUUUCUUCGAGUAGGAAUACAUGGUCUACUAUAAAGUUCACUAUAAGACUUUUUUACACCACCGAACGGUGAACGAUAAUAGUCAUAUCGUUCGGAAGACCAAGUAUUGGGUUCCAGUUCUACCCUAAGACAUUCCUUAAGAAACCACAGGCACAAACUACCUUUAGUACUACUAGAAUUUUUAUACCUCGUUCAUAACCUAGAAUCGAUGUGCGUAGAUAGAAUGGUAGAAUUCUGUACGGACGAACUAUAACCAUUCAUAGAUCUCCUAUCGCUCUAUUUUUUUCUCCUAAACAACUCCGUCACCUGUCGAGUUCCGAAACACUCAUUUUGAGCAGACGCACUACGUCUCCUACAGCGUCUUCUGAUGAAGAUAUUCGAGUAGUUGUACUCGUACUAGGUUGGGCACCUCUAUCUGAUGUUACUACUCCACAACAGAACGUCUCAUGUACUAUAUUACGAACUAGAGUAAUCUAGGUUCCGACGACUUCUCUUAAAAUUAGAACAAUAACUACCCGGUCUUCAACACUGUCCUCUUGUUUCUUCCCAGGCAGCUCAGAGGUAAGUCAUGUUACCACUUCUGCUACCGCCUUAUGACCGUCGUUAGUUACCCAGUGAUAGUGUACAGGCCAGUCAGAAUGAAAAUUCUCCCAGAGAACACGUAAGAAAAGACCACGACUUCAAAUAGGCUCAAGAAAUGUAAUAUCUAACCUCUACACUCUCUGAUCUAGAGUGGCUAUAAGCAACCAACAAAGAUGAUUCUAUAGACUUCUAAACACAGUCCUUUCUAAACUAGUAUGGAUCAUUUUAACCCCUCAACGUCGUUAACCUCUGUUAUCUUUAAUUUCCCGCUUGUAAAGAAGGUAGUCUAUAACAAUGAAACGGAGCCAACAGUGUAGAGUCAAUAAGUUUAGUACACAACAACGGACUGCUUUAGCCUUCCAACUUUAGAGAAGUGUGGAACGCUCCACAACUAAAGUAAGUUUCGAGCCAUCUUUUAUAGUUCCCGGAACCACUCGACUGUUUGAAUUCCCUUGAACUCUACCGAACCUUUAAACAAUUCCCUCGCCAGUUGUACGCACAACUACGGAACACGAGAAGGUAACCUUUCGAAAGAACGUCAGAGUCCUCGGAAUCAUAACCCAGGUUUACGGAAGUUCUGGAUACCCAGCUACCGACCUCGUCGUGUGAUUGGGGUGGAGCAGCAGAAGUAUUCGAACUAGACAUAUCUACACUUAAGGUUUUUUAGGGGGUUACCUAACGAGUCGAGGUGCUCGAACUGUCAAAUUGAGAAAGGCAGUCCCUCCGACGACUACCACAGUCAUAACAACGUCCCAACGGAAGGGAACGGAUGGAUUCUGAUAUAUAUGCAAGCCAACUGUUUUCCCUUCUUUCCCAUUAGUAGAGGCCGUCCCUUAAGUCUCGUGAGUUCGUGUACUUAAACCUUACAGGUAUAGACAGCGACCAGAAGGUUCACCCCCGAGACGGGUUCGAUCUCUGCGAAAACUACGCUACGGCAAUGGUGUAAAGACGGCUUAAGCAUGGCCAACCGUAACUCUUGAACGGUAGACCGUGAGAAGCACUCUAAGCAAAUCACCACCGACUAACAAAACCUCCAGUACCACUGCUGCUAUUGCCGCUGAUGUUACUGUUUCGUCGACACUCCAGCGUCAACUACUCUAGUAAAACCGGUGUAGUAGGAAGACGAUUGUAGUGGUAACUUAAAGAAAGCCUCAAAUCCAACACUAAAACAGUUUAUCACUUAGAGUGUAGGAAGUUCAGGAACCGGUUUUGAGAAUUCAUCGAUGAGCCUCAAGGCCAGACGUUGACAUUCUUAUAAAAAGAUCUAUAAGCUAUACCGGCUACAUUAUAUAACGAACUAAUAACUAGUUUCUAAAUCGUACUACCAGUGAUUUAUAUUACCUUGUACUAAAAUUAAGAAA
This 4625-nucleotide ribosomal RNA is filed under the name Triticum aestivum (bread wheat). RNAcentral describes it as "partial small subunit ribosomal RNA". The record is from RNAcentral. Lineage: Eukaryota; Viridiplantae; Streptophyta; Magnoliopsida; Poales; Poaceae.